UGACCAUAAACGAUGUCAACUAAGGAUUGGAUAAGAAAUUUCUGAAGUAUGGGAUUCUACUAUCCAAUGACGACAGUCAGCGGAUUCUGAUUCUCGCUUCAAUUCUUCCCUUAUUCAGGACUUGAUGAGAAAUCAUUAAGUGAAUGGACUUCAGGGGGAGUAUGGUCACAAGGCUGAAACUUAAAGGAAUUGACGGAAGGGCACACCAGGAGUGGAGCCUGCGGCUUAAUUUGACUCAACACGG
Molecule: ribosomal RNA, 244 nt
Filed under: Entamoeba sp.
Lineage: Eukaryota; Evosea; Mastigamoebida; Endamoebidae
Description: partial small subunit ribosomal RNA
Rfam family: Eukaryotic small subunit ribosomal RNA
Source: RNAcentral